This 253-nucleotide ribosomal RNA is filed under the name uncultured bacterium. RNAcentral describes it as "partial 16S ribosomal RNA". It matches the Rfam family "Bacterial small subunit ribosomal RNA", at positions 524 to 776 of the family's 1533-position model. The record is from RNAcentral.
UACGUAGGGGGCUAGCGUUGUUCGGAAUCACUGGGCUUAAAGGGCGCGUAGGCGGGUGCUCAAGUCUGUGGUGAAAUCCUCCAGCUUAACUGGAGAACUGCCAUGGAUACUGGGUGUCUCGAGGAACGUAGGGGUAUGCGGAACGAUUGGUGGAGCGGUGAAAUGCGUUGAUAUCAAUCGGAACUCCGGUGGCGAAGGCGGCAUACUGGACGUUAUCUGACGCUGAGGCGCGAAAGCUAGGGGAGCAAACGGG